RNAcentral lists this ribosomal RNA (424 nucleotides) under uncultured prokaryote. RNAcentral's name for it is "bacterial SSU rRNA". It matches the Rfam family "Bacterial small subunit ribosomal RNA", at positions 355 to 774 of the family's 1533-position model. The record is from RNAcentral.
UCGAGAAUCUUCGGCAAUGGACGCAAGUCUGACCGAGCGACGCCGCGUGCGAGAUGAAGGCCUUCGGGUUGUAAAUCGCUGUCAGUGGGGAGGAAAUGCUGGUGGGUUCUCCCAUCAGUUUGACCUAUCCGCAGAGGAAGGACGGGCUAAGUUCGUGCCAGCAGCCGCGGUAAUACGGACCGUCCAAACGUUAUUCGGAAUCACUGGGCUUAAAGGGUGCGUAGGCGGCCCGGGAAGUUGGGUGUGAAAGCCCUCGGCUCAACCGAGGAAUUGCGCCCAAAACUGCCGGGCUCGAGGAAGACAGAGGUGAGCGGAACUUAGGGUGGAGCGGUGAAAUGCGUUGAUAUCCUAGGGAACACCAGUAGCGAAAGCGGCUCACUGGGUCUUUUCUGACGCUGAUGCACGAAAGCUAGGGGAGCGAAGA